UAGAAAGAGGCGUUACCUCAUGGCCUAAGA
RNAcentral lists this non-coding RNA (30 nucleotides) under Rattus norvegicus (Norway rat). The record is from RNAcentral. Lineage: Eukaryota; Metazoa; Chordata; Mammalia; Rodentia; Muridae.